UACGUAGGGGGCAAGCGUUGUCCGGAUUUAUUGGGCGUAAAGCGCGCGUAGGCGGCCACGCAGGUCCGCUGUGAAAACUCGAGGCUCAACCUCGAGAUGUCGGUGGAAACCGCGUGGCUAGAGUCCGGAAGAGGAGAGUGGAAUUCCCGGUGUAGCGGUGAAAUGCGCAGAUAUCGGGAGGAACACCAAUGGCGAAGGCAGCUCGCUGGGACGGUACUGACGCUAAGGCGCGAAAGCGUGGGGAGCGAACAGG
This 253-nucleotide ribosomal RNA is filed under the name uncultured bacterium. Its description in RNAcentral is "partial 16S ribosomal RNA". It matches the Rfam family "Bacterial small subunit ribosomal RNA", at positions 524 to 776 of the family's 1533-position model. The record is from RNAcentral.